GAUGAACGCUGGCGGCGUGCCUAACACAUGCAAGUCGAACGGAGAUUACGGACGGAAGUUUUCGGAUGGAAGACUGUAAUUCUUAGUGGCGGACGGGUGAGUAACGCGUGGGCAACCUGCCCUAUACAGGGGGAUAGCAGCUGGAAACGGCUGGUAAGACCGCAUAAGUCGGCGAGACCGCAUGGUUUUGCCGGGACAUGAGCAAUCAGGUAUAGGAUGGGCCCGCGUCCGAUUAGCCAGUUGGCAGGGUAAAAGGCUACCAAAGCAACGAUCGGUAGCCGGACUGAGAGGUCGGACGGCCACAUUGGGACUGAGACACGGCCCAAACUCCUACGGGAGGCAGCAGUGGGGGAUAUUGCACAAUGGAGGAAACUCUGAUGCAGCGACGCCGCGUGAGUGAAGAAGUAUUUCGGUAUGUAAAGCUCUAUAAGCAGGGAAGAUGAUGACGGUACCUGACUAAGAAGCCCCGGCUAACUACGUG
This 481-nucleotide ribosomal RNA is filed under the name uncultured bacterium. RNAcentral's name for it is "partial 16S ribosomal RNA". It matches the Rfam family "Bacterial small subunit ribosomal RNA", at positions 28 to 507 of the family's 1533-position model. The record is from RNAcentral.